UACCGCAGUACNCCCGUAGGGGAAAGCCGGGGAUCUUCGGACCUGGCGCUAGUAGAUGAGCCCGCGUGAGAUUAGCUUGUUGGUGGGGUAAUGGCCUACCAAGGCAACGAUCUCUAGCUGGUCUGAGAGGACGAUCAGCCACACUGGGACUGAGACACGGCCCAGACUCCUACGGGAGGCAGCAGUGGGGAAUAUUGGACAAUGGGCGAAAGCCUGAUCCAGCAAUGCCGCGUGUGUGAAGAAGGCCUGAGGGUUGUAAAGCACUUUCAAUCGUGAAGAAAAGUCACAGGCUAAUACCCUGUGACCUUGACGUUAACGAUACAAGAAGCACCGGCUAACUCCGUG
This 345-nucleotide ribosomal RNA is filed under the name uncultured bacterium. RNAcentral describes it as "bacterial SSU rRNA". It matches the Rfam family "Bacterial small subunit ribosomal RNA", at positions 181 to 507 of the family's 1533-position model. The record is from RNAcentral.